GAGUAACUUCGGUAAAUGAUUCAUCUUCAUCUUCCACAAUGUAAGCAACGGUAUAUGCAUCUUCACCACAAAUUACUAUAACUGGACGAGAACUGAAUUCUGAUGGUUGAAGCCAUUGAACCUUCUGAAUAUUAAAACCUUUUUUUGGAACUCCAACGACCCUGGGUGUAUUCCAACUUAAAGCCCAGAAGUAUAGGAAUGUAGCAUUAGACGGAAUUUUGGAUUCUUUCCUAAUUUUUGUUUGAAUGACCACCAAAUCGGGACGACCUGGAUGCCAUUCAAAAUACACUAUAUGAUGUUUUUGAAUAAGAACAGUGUGCAGUUUUUUAUUCUGUAAAUUCCAUAGCCAAAGAACAUUAGGAUAUUUAGAAGUAAUUGUAGCAGCAUACGUCUCAUCACAGUUGAAACGUAUUUUUGAUGCUGAACAAAAGGAGGGUUCUGGGAAAUCGGUUCUGAGUUUAUGUACUUUUUGAUAAGUCAUUUGUUGCUCAUAGAUUGUUUCCUUCUCUUCCCAUAUAUGCAUUUCCAAGUCAGUAUUGGUAUAUUGCAAACAAUGGUGAAGUCGAAAAACUAUACUAAAAGUUUUUGUUUCAAGUAGAUGUAAGGUUGAAUCAUGGUAACUGCACAAAGUUAGAUAUUUGCCAAAGGGACUCCACUCAAAAUCGGAAAAGCCGACUUCAAUUAACCUAUUUGGUCGAUAUUCGUGAAAAAGAAGACCGGUGCGAUGAUAAAUAUAAACAACUGCAUCUAAUACGUUUUCCAAAACAGCUAACCAGUUUCCAUCUGGCGACCAAUGGAUACCCGUCGAAUCUAUUGUAGGAAGCUUACACUCUUUAAGAAGUAUCCAUGCCUUUUUGCUGAUUUGGUAAAAUUGAAGGCAAUCCGAACCGUUAAAACGAGAUAAUAUAGUACAGAAUUGCAUGGAUGGAUGUAAAGCGUAAACUAAACAGUCAGUAAAUUGAUAUAUCAGACAAGAAAUACCUUUCGAAACAUUGGUUUUUACAUGUGGAAGCAAAUAACCUUUCUGGGUAUUUAAAGACCACACAGUAAUCUUCGACUAAAAAAUUUGCUAUUAGCAUCGCAGAUAUAUAAGCAAAAAGUUGUGCAAAUUUUAUUAGAUACAACGUACAUCAAAGGACGACCAGAGAAGCAGUUCUCCAGACGGGCUCCAGCUGAUACUACUCAAAGGAUCCUGGUCGCACUGUAUGCUAGCAUAAUAAUCGUGUUGUACAAUAUCUAAUACAAACACUUUAUCAACUGAGGCAACACAAAUUUGAUGGCAUUUUUCUGCUCCUAAAUUGGGUUUCCAUAACAAGUAUACAACCUUUUGAAUGAAUUGAGCGUUUAGAAGGAACACAUGGUGAAGCUCGAGGGUUUCAGAAUUUCGAAUUAAGACAUGCCCAGAGCGAGAUAAAGACGCAAUCCAAUUACCACAAUGUGAAACACUUGCAAAUGUGGGAUUCAGACUAGCAAACAAAGCCGUAAAAUCCAUCCCAUAACCAAGCUUGCAACUCUGUUUGUUGUUUGAUCAGAUUUAUUUACAAUUCGU
RNAcentral lists this long non-coding RNA (1549 nucleotides) under Schizosaccharomyces pombe (fission yeast). Lineage: Eukaryota; Fungi; Ascomycota; Schizosaccharomycetes; Schizosaccharomycetales; Schizosaccharomycetaceae. The record is from RNAcentral.